RNAcentral lists this long non-coding RNA (6439 nucleotides) under Sorghum bicolor (sorghum). RNAcentral describes it as "long non-coding RNA (SBIC_LNC012921)". Lineage: Eukaryota; Viridiplantae; Streptophyta; Magnoliopsida; Poales; Poaceae. The record is from RNAcentral.
UGGUGUGAAACAGGAGGAAAAGGGGGGUCGCAAGCGUUCAGCACGGGUUUUAUUGGGGUUGAAUUGUGCGUAUAAGGCAAUGACCCCCGGGGAAAUGGGGAUUGGGAGAGAUAUUCUCCUUUGGGAGUCCUCCCUGAACACGGCGAGAGGAGGUAGAUGAAGUUAGCUGACGACAGGGUCCACUGGUUAGUGAAAGGAAGAGAGGGAGAGAACUGCGCGAGUUGGGCCGCUGCUGGGCUGUGUUUGCAUGAGAGGAGGGUGAAUGUGGACAGGCCGGGAGGGAAGGGAGGAGGGGUCUUUUGGGCCAAAUCUAGGGAGAGGGAGAGAGAGAGAGAGAGGGAGCUUUUGCCAUCCUGCUUUGUUUGUUUUUUCUUUUCUUUUAUUCCAAAGCCAUUUCAACUCAUUUCAAAAUCAUUUUAAAUCAUUUUGAAUUUUAGGUUCAAAUACACUCAUCACAAUAAAUAAAAUGCCAAGGUAUGCAUGGUCAAACACAUUGCUAACUCCUAUGAUAAUUUUUUGAAUUUAAUGAAAAAUAUUAUUUUCCUAUAUUCUCAUGAGCACAAAAAUAACAAAUUAAAUGAUUUUGGAGCUACUUUCAAGGAAACAAUUUUUUAGGGUGUUACAAAUCUAUCUCCCUUAAAAUGAAUCUCAUCCUCGAGAUUCGGAAAAGGCACGGAUUCCAAAAGACAAAUAGGAAAAAGAUCUUGAUAACUAUCUCAACUUUACAACUUGCAUACCAAAGAUAAACUCAAAUUUUCCAUAGAAUGUCUAUUAUUCAUAAUUGAUCAAGGUCCAUCUUGACUACCAACUUUUUGACUUGUACAACUCAAGACAUGGUAACUUAGCAUGGAUAUGCCUCCUUAGGUAGGAGUGGACCACCUUGAUACUCAAUUCUUUUCCCUGAUGGUGUAGUUAAGAAAAUUUUCCACUGGGUAGCAUAGAUCACUCCUUUGUGUGCACAUAACCAUCCAUUGCCAAGAACCAAGGGAAUGUUGAGUGACUCUAGCACAAUGAGGUUUACAGUGAAGUUUUCCUUCUUUAUGACAAGAUUGAUAUUUGAGUAAACCUGAUCUGCCUGUAUUUCUCCCAUUGGGGUUUGAACUAAUAAAGGCUUCCUUGUCGGACACUUCACCCGUUCGAUCGUCUUUACCAAGUCGGCGGAAAUGAAAGAAUGCGAAGCACUUCGGUCAAAGAGAGCAAAACCUAGCACUGAGUCCACUUGAAUAUAGCCUCCCACCACUUUGCUGGCUCCUUGAAUGUUAUUCAUAUCCACAUUGUUCAGUCUCCCAUUGAUAUAAUUUCGCUGCGCCUAACUUCCAGGAGCAGGCUUCUUACGGGCUUUUCUUUGACGCUUCCGUCGUUGUGGAUUUUGAUUUGAUUCAUUGUCAACUUGCACUUCAAUAUUAUUAUUUUGAUAGUACUCAGCUUUAUCAUACUCAUAGCAUCUUUCUUCAAAGGCAAGAUGAUCAUAGUCUUCCCAUCUAUCUAUGAGAGGCAUCAUGUUGUGCUCCGAAUCCAUGGGACACUACACUCGCUGUCAUCAAGUGACCAACAUCAGUAACAUGGCAAGGGUAGAUGAUCAUAAUCAUAGGAUACUCAAGACGACAAUUAUCACUUCAAGAUAGUUUAAAUAUGCAUCAUCCAGUGAUAUCAAGGUACUACUCUCCUUAAGACGAGACUGAUUGGGGAACACUAAGACAAGCUCUCCUAUCCUUUUUGAAUGCUACACAUCAUAGUCUUUCAAAUUUGCUUGUACCAAGUCUCUUAGUCCAAGAUUGGUUUUAUCACCGAGUUCCAUCUAUUGGUACCUUUAUCACAAUCAAGUUGUUUCACUCUCCUAUUGUAUAUAUAAUAUCUUGAAACAAAACCAAAUUUACCGAACACUUGUUAUCCACACAUAUGAUCCAACAUUAGCCAAUCCUUCUCAUUGUAGCUUCUUUAAUUAGGCUACCCCCCUUAAAAGGGUCAACUAGGGGACACAAGAAAGGUAGCUUGCAUGUUUUCCAGACAAGUUAAUUAAUAUUGAGAACUUCUUACAUCCCAAAGAGCUUAUGUGCAAGAGAACAAUCAGGUAUCCUGAAAUUUUCUUGUGAUAUGAAAAAUACUAGCAUAGUAAAAUAGACAUAACUCUUAUUCUCUGAAUCCAAUAGAAUUUUAGCUUAUACCAUUAGAAAACUUAUGAAAUUCUCUACAACUUUCAUGUAGAAUACCUUCUCAGAUUCUGUCUUUAAGCUCAGGUAAAGUAUCCAAAUAUAAUACCCAUCCUGUCAAUGUCUCAGCAAAGGUGCAGUAAGUUCCAGAAGAUAUAUAUCGAGCUACUCAACUCAUCUGGAAAUGAUCCUUACAUUUUUCAAAAGCUUAGGAAAUCCUUUACAACCUUCGUAUACAAAUUUUUCUCAGAUUCUGAUGUUAAGUUGUCUGAACUUAGAAAUACUAGAUCUGUCCAGAUUUUGAAACAGAACAGAAACAUCCAAGUGUAAUUAUCAUAUCUCAGGUUCUACUUAUCCGAAUAAGUUCCAGCUUAUACUGUUCGAAAGCUUAGAAAAUUGUCUAAAACUUUUCCAUAGAACACGUUUCCAAAUUCUAUAUUCAUAUUUGUCUCAAACAGCAAGUACCCGAAACUGGUCCAGAUUCUGGACAGCACAACUGUGUCAUCUUGUGAUUUUUGUAUCUUCCAAUCCAUAAUAGCUCUGAGGGUGAUUCUUGCUGCCAGAGAAAGAUAUUGAAGUCUAGUUGUUCCCAGAAAAAUUUGAUAAACUUUGCACGAACAGAAUUUGGGAUAUACCAGAAUUGUUGCAGACUGCUCCAGAAAUCAGCAAAGGACAGAAACAGAUAUACCCAAACCCAACUACUUAUUUCAUUACUCCUUAUGCCUUAGGCCUAUAAACUAAAUGAAAUUGUGAAGAAAUCCCACAAGAUCAUUGCAAUCAUUACAAAGAUCCAAAUCAAGCAUAAACAUAAUAACAACCCAUUAAGCAUUAAAGGUUCACACUUCACUCAACUUUCGCCACUAGCGUUUUUAUUACACAAGGGGGACACAAACUCCUAAAUUUUAGGCUCGGUGUGACUACUUUCAUGAUGCAUCAGUUGCUUCUUUUGUGGACAAGAGCUUAUAUAAUGUCCUUCUUGUUGGCAGUGAUAACACCUUCUCUUAGCUGGGUCCUUUGUGAUGUUACUUUCCACUGAAGUGUUGCUCGGUGUGUUAUCAACUUGCUGACUCUGAUGGUUUAUCUUUGCCUUGUUAGAUUUCUUUCUACAUUGCUUGAUCAAUCCGAGGUUGAAAUUCUGUAUAAGUAAUUGUCCACCCAUCUAUGCAUACCUCAUGAGCAGUGGGGUUAGCUCGAGGAGUUUCUUUGUCUCCAAGGUUUGAAUUUUCCCGACAAGAAUUCGAAGCUACAUGUGACAACUUAGGAUUGGGAUGUUGAUCACUUCCCAAUGCUGGCUCUAGUGAUUUUACCUUCCUCUUCUUAUCCUCAUUAGUCACACAAGUUGGUUUUGUCUUAACUUCCUUUUUAGAUGACCUUUUUCGAAGACAAAGGAGACCAUAAUGCUCACAACAAGGGCAUUGAUCCUGAUAUCCUGAUGUAUUACUCCCAACACUUCCAUGAGUUCUCAUAUUUUUCCAAGCUUCUGCUACUUGUCUCCUCACUGGUCCUGAGAUGCGUUGCUGAGAGUUCUUAUUCUGAGUUAUUCCUACCACUACUUAUGUUUGCAUGGCCUGAAGCUUCUCCUUGUCGAAUGCUUUCACGGUUGGCAUGUCUAGGUGCUUUGGUUCCUUCUUGCCUAAGGUGUCCUCGUUAUGAUCCAUCUAAAGAGACAAUAAGGAGGAUUUAGAGUGGAGAAAGGUUUUAUAAUUGAACUGGGCAAGAAGUAAGCAUAACCUUUAGCAACUAUCAAGGUUAAGGUGAAAGCAAGAAGUAAGCAGAGAUAGAAGCAUUAUAAAAUGUCCAAUUCUAACUAGGAUUGCGUCCUAGAGUCAGCAUUGCUCUGAUACCACUUUGUAAUACCCGAUUUUAAGGAUAACACUAGAUAUGCACCAUAUGUGAGUCUUAGAAGUCAAAUCUCACAUAUAGCUACAAAUAAAGGGUAAUAUCAAAAGACAAUGCAUAAAUUAUAUAACGUACAUAAUAAAUUAGAAAUAACCUUAAGUAGAAAAUAACGGAAGAUAACUCCAACUUCAGGUAUUAACUCCACUCUAUAGGAUCCAACUAACUGGUUGAUCACAAGCCUAACACUCUUCCUAAAGUUUUGGGAAAAUAGCAAGAGUGAGUCCAUGUCGAACUCCACAAGUAUAGCAAUUAGAUUGUAUAGAUCCCACAAUCUCAUGAUCAAUGUGACAAAUAAUGUAAAGCAUUGAAUAAUAAAUAAUGAGCAUAUUUAACACACAAUAAUCAUCACCUUAAUGUAGAUGUCCCCAAGGCCGCUCCUGACCGUGAGCUCGGCUAGUAUAAUAGUUUUUAACACUCUGAAGAGGUUGCACAUCUUUAUCCAUGAGUCAUGAUUUACCCUUUUGCCCGAGGUAGCUACUCUCUUAACCCCCUUCCAAGGGAGGUUGGCAGGAUCACUAUGAAGUCUUUCAAAGGUUCGUCUAACAAGUUAGGGCCACUUGGUUUCAUUAGUCAGUCCAUGUGAUCCACCUGGAGGAAUCCACGGUCUGCUAUUCCCCAAUUGCGCCACAACGGGUAACCGCUAACGAGCUAGAAAAGUUACUCAUCUUUAACUAAAGCCAGAGCCAUUAUAGCCCUCAUGGUUGCACUGUUGUCCCGGUUAUCACUUACAGAUAAAUCAUCAAGUGGCUAAAAAGUCAUUUUUAUCAUUUAUUACUUAACAUUAAUCUAGUCACAAGAUCAUGGUCACAGAAUAUAAAACCCAAAUGCUAUACUUGCCUUAGUUCAAAUGCUCUUGUUGAUCUUGCUAGUUGUCCAAGGUUCUGAUCUUGAUCACUGAAGCACUCUUGAUCAACACGAAUUGCUCACCGGCUAAACUCGAUCAUCGAUCAUCAAUCACACAAACAACGGAGACAACAUACACGAUGCAAACAAGGCUACAAUUAGAACAGUACACCAAUCAUAUAAAAACAGUAUGAAAAUUUUAUAAAAUGAUUCUACGCAUCGCUACGAUCUCACAGACAUAAAGAUCACGAAAAUUGGAUUUAAAACGAAGGAGAUAUGAAUUUUCUACGAUUUUAUAUAGAAAAGUAAUUAAUUAAUUAAGGUCACGAAAUUAAAAAGUUUCAAACUGAUGAAUUAAGUUUACUAACAUGUAGAUCUUUCAAAUACGAACGCAACGCAAUUUGAAUGGGUCAAAACAGAAUUAAAAUGAAUAUUUUAGAGCCAAAACAAGUUUAGGGGCAAAAAUUGUAAAUAGCAGAAAGCGUAUUUUGAAUCAAGCCGAGGCGGUUUACAUUUUCAACACAGCAAAGCGUAUUUGGAAAAAAGGUGCCAGGGACCACGGGUUCGAUAAUUAAAAACUUCAUGGGCUCUUUAGAAAAUGUUACCCCGAAGGGGUAACUUCUAUUCUGGGCCACAGGAUCCCGAUCGGACGGACCGAAAUCACCCAUGGGGGUUCCGGCCUGCCGGCCACCGGACAGAACUCCGGCGCGGUGGCGCCAUGACAGGGAGCUCAGAGCUCACCGGAGCUCAUCGAACUAGCGCUACAAUGCACUAAAACCGAAACCAAAGGCACGAGAAGGUAGAGGAGGUUACCACGAGCUCACCUGGGGCAAGAUCAAGGCUUGAGAAAAGCUUGAAGGUAACCGACGGCUCGGGAUGGCGGAUCGGAGUUCAGCGGGACUUCGGCGUCGUGUAAUGAAUCUCUAGAAGCACAAGAAAAAGUAAGGAACGAUCUUGCGGCUCCGCAAGGACAUCUCAAACCACGGCAUCAAACUCGCAGAGGCAAAGAAACAGCACACUACGGCAUUCUCGGCAGUGGUUCAACGUCAGGCUCGGCGAGAUCCAACGCGAGGCCGAAGCAGGACUAGACGACUCCUUGGCGUGAAACAGGAGGAAAAGGAGGGUCGCAAGCGUUCAGCACGGGUUUUAUAGGGGUUGAAUUGUGCGUAUAAGGCAAUGACCCCCCUUGGAAAUUGGGAUUGGGAGAGAUAUUCUCCUUUGGGAGUCCUCCCUAGACACGGCGAGAGGAGGGAGAUGAAGUUAGCUGACGAGCGGGGUCCACUGGUCAGUGAAAGGAAGAGAGGGAGAGAACUGUGCGCGAGUUGGGCCGCUGCUGGGCUGUGUUUGCGUGAGAGGAGGGUGAAUGUGGACAGGCCGGGAGGGAAGGGAGGAGGGGGGCUUUUGGGCCAAAACCAGCGAGGGAGAGGGAGCUUUUGCCAUCCUGCUUAUUCCAAAGCCAUUUCAACUCAUUUCAAAAUCAUUUUAAAUCAUUUUGAAUUUUAGGUUCAAAUACACUCAUCACAAUAAAUAAAAUGCCAAGGUAUGCA